Molecule: unclassified non-coding RNA, 337 nt
Filed under: Hevea brasiliensis (rubber tree)
Lineage: Eukaryota; Viridiplantae; Streptophyta; Magnoliopsida; Malpighiales; Euphorbiaceae
Source: RNAcentral
UUUGUUUUGAUUGUGAAGGAAUUUGUCCCGGGAUUCAUGAUUCAUACUUAAUUGCUGGUGGUAUUUUGAUGCACCUGGAGAUCUUCUGUUGGCUUCUUUUUGUGUACUUAUGCAAAUAGGAAAUAUGUGCUGAAUAAUCUUAUCGUUUAUAUAAUUCUAACAGGGGCAUAUGGGAUGGUGAAAGUUGGUUGCUAAGGUAGCUUUGGAUGAAAAUUUAGAAGAUGUGUUUUGAUCUUUCCUCUAAAGUGGCAUCAAUGCUUCUCAUUGCAGCUAUUUUGAUUAGCUGCAGCCUAUGUAUUAGUCCAGUAAUUUGAUGAAAUUAUUGUUGCUGCUGCUA